This 515-nucleotide ribosomal RNA is filed under the name uncultured bacterium. RNAcentral's name for it is "partial 16S ribosomal RNA". It matches the Rfam family "Bacterial small subunit ribosomal RNA", at positions 28 to 523 of the family's 1533-position model. The record is from RNAcentral.
GAUGAACGCUGGCGGCGUGCCUAAUACAUGCAAGUCGAGCGAAUGGAUUAAGAGCUUGCUCUUAUGAAGUUAGCGGCGGACGGGUGAGUAACACGUGGGUAACCUGCCCAUAAGACUGGGAUAACUCCGGGAAACCGGGGCUAAUACCGGAUAACAUUUUGAACCGCAUGGUUCGAAAUUGAAAGGCGGCUUCGGCUGUCACUUAUGGAUGGACCCGCGUCGCAUUAGCUAGUUGGUGAGGUAACGGCUCACCAAGGCAACGAUGCGUAGCCGACCUGAGAGGGUGAUAGGCCACACUGGGACUGAGACACGGCCCAGACUCCUACGGGAGUCAGCAGUAGGGAAUCUUCCGCAAUGGACGAAAGUCUGACGGAGCAACGCCGCGUGAGUGAUGAAGGCUGUCGGGUCGUAAAACUCUGUUGUUAGGGGAGAACAAGUGCUAGUUGAAUAAGCUGGCACCUUGACGGUACCUAACCAGAAAGCCACGGCUAACUACGUGCCAGCAGCCGCCGUAA